UACGAAGGGGGCUAGCGUUGCUCGGAAUCACUGGGCGUAAAGCGCACGUAGGCGGAUUGCUAAGUCAGGGGUGAAAUCCUGGAGCUCAACUCCAGAACUGCCUUUGAUACUGGCGACCUUGAGUCCGGGAGAGGUGAGUGGAACUGCGAGUGUAGAGGUGAAAUUCGUAGAUAUUCGCAAGAACACCAGUGGUGAAGGCGGCUCACUGGCCCGGUACUGACGCUGAGGUGCGAAAGCGUGGGGAGCAAACAGG
This 253-nucleotide ribosomal RNA is filed under the name uncultured bacterium. RNAcentral describes it as "partial 16S ribosomal RNA". It matches the Rfam family "Bacterial small subunit ribosomal RNA", at positions 524 to 776 of the family's 1533-position model. The record is from RNAcentral.